RNAcentral lists this ribosomal RNA (254 nucleotides) under uncultured bacterium. RNAcentral describes it as "partial 16S ribosomal RNA". It matches the Rfam family "Bacterial small subunit ribosomal RNA", at positions 524 to 776 of the family's 1533-position model. The record is from RNAcentral.
UACGUAGGGGGCUAGCGUUACCCGGAUUCACUGGGCGUAAAGCGCGUGUAGGCGGCUGGCCAAGCGUGGUGUGAAAUCUCCGGGCUCAACCCGGAAACUGCACUGCGAACUGGCCUGGCUGGAGUGCAGGAGAGGGAUGCGGAAUUCACGGUGUAGCGGUGAAAUGCGUAGAUAUCGUGAGGAACACCAGUGGCGAAGGCGGCAUCCUGGCCUGUAACUGACGCUGAGACGCGAAAGCGUGGGGAGCGAACCGG